GAGAGCACUUAGCCACAUUCCUAAGUGUUUUGUUGACAAGGGCUAGGCUGAAGGAUGUGCUUAAUGUGCAGGUGACAGUGCUCGUAGAAAAUGAAUUGAAAAUGCAUAUCCCAAAAGGAUUGCAGAGCAGUUUCACAUUUGCUCUCUGACUGUCAUUCUGUUGGCAGAACCUUCCCGUACAUAACUUGCAGCAACAUGACUCAGACAAAGGUGCAUCAUUUCAAUAAAUACAGAAAGCUACUUGUCAUUUGCUAUUCCUGCCACCCCAGUAGGAAUUCAGUGGAAUUCCAUGGCAGGAAUUGCAUGGCAAUAUGAAAAACUCAUGCAUACACACCUGUGAGCUAGAACAGAGCAAGGGCAGGACACUAACACUUGUCAUCGCUUUAUAAAUUGAUUUUAAUAAUGAGGAACAAGUAUUUAGGUUCUGUUGAACAAGAGAACUAGAAGGAAUACUGAUGUUAUAACAAAUGGCUUAGAAGCACAAAAGCACAGCAGCCACCCAAGUGGCCAUUUGGUCUUAGUGCAAAAGUCAAGGCAUCAUAAAUUAUUUCUGGUUGGAAAGGGCCCCCAGUGGCACUGAAUAUAGCCCCCAGCUGAGAGCAGGGCUAAAUUCAGUCUUAUAUCAGGCUGUUCAGGGCCUUGCCAAGUUAUGAAAAUUUCUGGAGAGUGUACAGUGCUACUGCACAACAUGUUCCACUGCUUAACCAACCUCUCUGUGCUGCUUUCCCUUAUAUCUUGUCCAUCUUUAAUUCUUUCCUAUUGGAAUUUGGCUGUCUAUAGUUCUUUCCAGUGAACCUCAGACAGAAUCAUCCAUAUAGGACAGCCUUACCUGUAUGUCCUGUGGUCUGGUCCUGAACAUCUAGGCUGCUCUUCAGAAUGCCAGUCUUCUUGCAUUUGGGGCCCAAACUAGACACAGUACUCCAGAUGUGGCCUCUCCAGGACCAAAGAGUCAUAAUCAUUUAUCUCCUCCUUGUGGAAGACAUAUUCUUACUAACACAGUCCGGUAUGUGGUUAGCUUUCAUUUCUACAAGGACACACAAUCAAUACAUGCUCAUCUUCUCCACCAGGAUCCCCAGGUCAUUUUCUCCAGAGCCACACUCCUGCAAGUUAGUCUCCAGACAUCAUCUGAUUGUGACAGUAAAAAGUGGCUCUGUGAUGGCUGUUCCAUCAGAACACACAGAUGUAUCCUGAUUGCUCCUCUUCUCCUAAAAGACGUGGUGUAACUCACCAUGUGAUGGCAAUACUUCAAGGCAAGAACAGAGGACAACAUGCCUGGAAAUGAGAUGGCAGCUGUGACUGCCAAGGAAAAUGGAUACACAGGCUUCCACUGGCAUAAAGCAGCACCUUGCAUUGACUUUGGACUGCUGGCUGGUUGUGAAGGAAGCAGUUGCACAAGUUCUCAGGGCAGAGAAAGAACUGCAGCUAUGGUGUCCACAAACAAGCAAGAAUACCAAGAGCCAGCACAAGGGCUGAACCUUCGUGCUAAUAUUGAAGGCUAGAAAGAUGCAAAGAUGACCAAAGGGCUGAAGCACCUCUCCUCUGAGGAAAGGUUGAGGGAUGA
Non-coding RNA from Coturnix japonica (Japanese quail), 1561 nucleotides. The record is from RefSeq and is a predicted model, not a curated record. Lineage: Eukaryota; Metazoa; Chordata; Aves; Galliformes; Phasianidae.